This 506-nucleotide ribosomal RNA is filed under the name uncultured beta proteobacterium. Its description in RNAcentral is "bacterial SSU rRNA". It matches the Rfam family "Bacterial small subunit ribosomal RNA", at positions 360 to 858 of the family's 1533-position model. The record is from RNAcentral. Lineage: Bacteria; Pseudomonadati; Pseudomonadota; Betaproteobacteria.
AAUUUUGGACAAUGGGGGCAAGCAUGAUCCAGCCAUGCCGCGUGAGUGAAGAAGGCCUUCGGGUUGUAAAGCUCUUUCAGACGGGAAGAAACGGACUUGGUUAAUAACCAUGUUAAUGACGGUACUGUCAGAAGAAGCACCGGCUAACUACGUGCCAGCAGCCGCGGUAAUACGUAGGGUGCGAGCGUUAAUCGGAAUUACUGGGCGUAAAGCGUGCGCAGGCGGUUUUGUAAGACAGAUGUGAAAUCCCCGGGCUCAACCUGGGAACUGCAUUUGUGACUGCAAGGCUAGAGUGCGGCAGAGGGGGGUAGAAUUCCACGUGUAGCAGUGAAAUGCGUAGAUAUGUGGAGGAACACCGAUGGAGAAGGCAGCCCCCUGGGUCGAUACUGACGCUCAUGCACGAAAGCGUGGGGAGCAAACAGGAUUAGAUACCCUGGUAGUCCACGCCCUAAACGAUGUCAACUAGGUGUUGGGGAAGGAGACUUCUUUAGUACCGCAGCUAACGC